GAUGAACGCUGGCGGUAUGCUUAACACAUGCAAGUCGAACGGACUCUUCGUAGUUAUUGGCGGUCGUGUGAGUAACGCGUGGGAAUCUGGCUUUGGGUUCGGGACAACCACUGUAAACGGUGGCUAAUACCGGAUGUGCCGAUAGGUAAAAGAGAAAUUGCCUGAAGAUGAGCUCGCGUCUGAUUAGCUAGUUGGUGAGUUAAAGGCUCACCAAGGCAGCGAUCAGUAGCUGGUCUGAGAGGAUGAGCAGCCACACUGGGACUGAGACACGGCCGAGACUCAUACGGGAGACAGGAGUGGGAAAUUUUACGAAAUGGGCGAAAGCCUGACGGAGAAAUCGCGCGUGAGAGAAGAAGGCUCUUGGGUUGUAAAACUCUUUUCUUAGGGAAGAACAAAGUGACGGUAACUAAGGAAUAAGCACCGGCUAACUACGUG
This 435-nucleotide ribosomal RNA is filed under the name uncultured bacterium. Its description in RNAcentral is "partial 16S ribosomal RNA". It matches the Rfam family "Bacterial small subunit ribosomal RNA", at positions 28 to 507 of the family's 1533-position model. The record is from RNAcentral.